RNAcentral lists this transfer RNA (63 nucleotides) under Fukomys damarensis (Damara mole-rat). It matches the Rfam family "tRNA", at positions 5 to 66 of the family's 71-position model. From Rfam's summary of the family: Transfer RNA (tRNA) molecules are approximately 80 nucleotides in length. The record is from Rfam by way of RNAcentral. Lineage: Eukaryota; Metazoa; Chordata; Mammalia; Rodentia; Bathyergidae.
AUAUAGUUCAGUGGUAGAGUGUGUGCUUAGCAUGCACAAGGUCCUGGGUUCCAUUCCCAACAU